CUCGGGGCGAAGUAGCUGAUUUCACACUGUCAAGAAAAGCUUCUAUCGAGUUUAAAGGCGCCCGUACCGUAAACCGACACAGGUGGGUGAGGAGAGUAUCCUAAGGCCAGCGAGAGAACUAUUGUUAAGGAACUCGGCAAAAUGACCCCGUAACUUAGGGAGAAGGGGUGCCUGUCUAUGACAGGCCGCAGAGAAUAGGCCCAAGCGACUGUUUACCAAAAACACAGGUUUCUGCUAAGUCGCAAGACGAUGUAUAGGAGCUGACGCCUGCCCGGUGCUGGAAGGUUAAGGGGAUCUGUUAGAGCAAUCGAAGCAGUGAACUUAAGCCCCAGUAAACGGCGGCCGUAACAAUAACGGUCCUAAGGUAGCGAAAUUCCUUGUCGGGUAAGUUCCGACCCGCACGAAAGGCGUAACGAUUUGGGCACUGUCUCAACAAUAGACUCGGUGAAAUUGUAAUCCCGGUGAAGAUGCCGGGUACCUGCGACAGGACGGAAAGACCCCAUGGAGCUUUACUGUAGCUUGACGUUGGGUCUUGGUACUACAUGUACAGGAUAGGUGGGAGACUAUGAAGCAUGGACGCCAGUCUGUGUGGAGUCAUCCUUGGGAUACCACCCUUGUAGUACUGGGAUCCUAACCAUAGGCCUUGAAUCAGGUCUUGGAACACCGUCAGGUGGGCAGUUUGACUGGGGCGGUCGCCUCCUAAAAAGUAACGGAGGCGCUCAAAGGUUUCCUCAGCACGGUCGGAAAUCGUGCGAAGAGUGUAAAGGCAAAAGGAAGCUUGAUUGCAAGACAUACAGGUCGAGCAAGGACGAAAGUCGGACUUAGUGAUCCGGUGGUACCGCAUGGAAGGGCCAUCGCUCAACGGAUAAAAGCUACCCUGGGGAUAACAGGCUUAUCUCCCCCAAGAGUCCACAUCGACGGGGAGGUUUGGCACCUCGAUGUCGGCUCAUCACAUCCUGGGGCUGUAGUAGGUCCCAAGGGUUGGGCUGUUCGCCCAUUAAAGUGGUACGCGAGCUGGGUUCAGAACGUCGUGAGACAGUUCGGUCCCUAUCCGUCGCAGGCGUAGGAAAUUUGAGAAGACCUGUCCUUAGUACGAGAGGACCGGGAUGGACGUACCUCUGGUGUACCAGUUGUUCUGCCAAGGGCAUGGCUGGGUAGCUAUGUACGGAAUGGAUAAGCGCUGAAAGCAUCUAAGCGCGAAGCCAACUUCAAGAUAAGAUUUCCCACCGUAAGGGUAAGACCCCAGGAAGACUACCUGGUUGAUAGGUCGAAGGUGUAAGUGCAGUAAUGUAUUUAGCUUAUCGAUACUAAUAGGUCGAGGACUUGAUC
RNAcentral lists this ribosomal RNA (1329 nucleotides) under metagenome. RNAcentral's name for it is "bacterial LSU rRNA". It matches the Rfam family "Bacterial large subunit ribosomal RNA", at positions 1579 to 2925 of the family's 2925-position model. The record is from RNAcentral.